CCUACGGGAGGCAGCAGUGAGGAAUAUUGGUCAAUGGGCGGGAGCCUGAACCAGCCAAGUCGCGUGAGGGAAGACGGUCCUAUGGAUUGUAAACCUCUUUUGUCUGGGAGCAAUACAGGCCACGCGUGCCCGGCCGGAGAGUCCCCGCAGAAUAGGCCUCGGCUAACACCGUCCCGGCAGCCGCGGUAAUACGGAGGAUGCGAGCGUUAUCGGGUUUUAUUGGGUUUAAGGGGUGCGUAGGCGGAUGUUUAGUCCAGCGGUAAAAUGUCCGGGCUCAAACCGGGCGGGCCGUUGAAACUGGGGAUCUGGAGUGGGCGAGAAGUAUGCGGAAUGCGUGGUGUAGCGGUGAAAUGCAUAGAUAUCACGCAGAACUCCGAUUGCGAAGGCAGCAUACCGGCGCCCGACUGACGCUGAUGCACGAAAGCGUGGGUAUCGAACAGGAUUAGAUACCCGAGUAGUC
RNAcentral lists this ribosomal RNA (460 nucleotides) under uncultured bacterium. RNAcentral's name for it is "partial 16S ribosomal RNA". It matches the Rfam family "Bacterial small subunit ribosomal RNA", at positions 338 to 795 of the family's 1533-position model. The record is from RNAcentral.